This 490-nucleotide ribosomal RNA is filed under the name uncultured bacterium. Its description in RNAcentral is "partial 16S ribosomal RNA". It matches the Rfam family "Bacterial small subunit ribosomal RNA", at positions 30 to 507 of the family's 1533-position model. The record is from RNAcentral.
AUUGAACGCUGGCGGCAGGCCUAACACAUGCAAGUCGAACGGUAACAGGAAGAAGCUUGCUUCUUUGCUGACGAGUGGCGGACAGGUGAGUAAUGUCUGGGAAACUGCCUGAUGGAGGGGGAUAACUACUGGAAACGGUAGCUAAUACCGCAUAACGUCGCAAGACCAAAGAGGGGGACCUUCGGGCCUCUUGCCAUCGGAUGUGCCCAGAUGGGAUUAGCUAGUAGGUGGGGUAACGGCUCACCUAGGCGACGAUCCCUAGCUGGUCUGAGAGGAUGACCAGCCACACUGGAACUGAGACACGGUCCAGACUCCUACGGGAGGCAGCAGUGGGGAAUAUUGCACAAUGGGCGCAAGCCUGAUGCAGCCAUGCCGCGUGUAUGAAGAAGGCCUUCGGGUUGUAAAGUACUUUCAGCGGGGAGGAAGGGAGUAAAGUUAAUACCUUUGCUCAUUGACGUUACCCGCAGAAGAAGCACCGGCUAACUCCGUG